This is a non-coding RNA of Microcebus murinus (gray mouse lemur), 567 nucleotides long. NCBI's taxonomy places the organism in Eukaryota, Metazoa, Chordata, Mammalia, Primates, Cheirogaleidae. The record is from RefSeq and is a predicted model, not a curated record.
UCAGCCAAAAGCACACCAAGAACUGGGAGCAGACAAGUAUGAUCGGACAUUUUGGUGCCAUGACUUGGAUCGCUCUGCUUAGUGUCUUCAUGGAGUUUCCUGACAUCGCUUCCCAAAGAAGCUAUAUGCACUUGCAUCAUCACAUCAGGAAAACAUCCUAUUCAUGAUAGAAUUUCACAGAGUGAAUAGAUUCAGCAGAGGAUCAGACGUCUCAAGGACACAGUCCUGUUUAUAAGAUGACGACCCCUCUCACUUCUGCUUGAUUUGUUCUAAUCAAAUCCAACUGGCUACUGGGACCAAUGUCAAUCCCACCUGAAGAGAGUUCAAUUCUCUUUGAUGAAUAAGCAGGUGAUCUCAUUUUAGUAACCCCUUCCUGAUGAGGAGGAAUCCCACAGUGCACUGCUCAGAUGGAGACAUACAUGCUCAGGUUGAGGUGAGUGGUUUUUUUGUUGUUUGUUUGUUUUUUGCCAUAGUAGACAGCACUACGUUUUUUAUCCUGCACACCAUUCUCAGAAAUAACCCAAAUGUAGUUUCAUCAUUUACAAAUACAUAAACAAGCUUAGUCAU